Molecule: long non-coding RNA, 934 nt
Filed under: Androctonus crassicauda
Lineage: Eukaryota; Metazoa; Arthropoda; Arachnida; Scorpiones; Buthidae
Source: RNAcentral
AGAAUAUUUCAGGCCAUUAAACGAAUUAAAUACUCUUUGAUAGUUUUUAUUUUAUUUAUUUAUAUAUUUAUAUAAAUGGUUUUUCUGAGAAAGUCAAGCCAUAGGUGAACGGAUACAAGUGUUUAUAAUAACGUCUCAUAAUUCUCAGUUCCUAGCUCCGUUAGCUUUAUUCCUAGUUGAAUAACUCCAACUGGUAUGAUUGCCCUAAAGGUCUAUUGCAUUUAAUCUUUCCUUAGAGAACCUCUUUAACUAAUCUUGUCAGUGCUCCAUCCUAUAACUUCUCCUUUCCGAUCGAAACCUGUUACUUUGUCAGAGUUCCGUUCACCGGUCACUUUUCGUUGAUAUUCUUUACAGCUUUUGAUCAAAAAACUCUUUCAGACGUCUUUUAUUUUAUUGUAACUGCUAAAUUCGGUCCGCUCUGGGCUCAAAUAAUCGAUAGAAUUGCCGAUAGAAUUGCAAAACUCUUAUACGUUUUUUUGCAUUGUGUAUUUAGCACACGUUCAAGUGUUUGUGUUAAAUACAUAAUGCAAAUUUCACCUAUUGAAAUUGACAGAAUUUCUUUUCCACAAAGGAACUUCUGUUCUAAUAAACAAUUGAUGUCUGUCUUAAAUAUACAAUGCAAAUUUCUCCUAUUGAAAUUGACAGAAUUUCUUUUCCAUUCUGUUCUAAUAAACACGUCGAUGCCUGUGUUAAAUACACAAAAUGCAAAUUUCAUCUAUCGAAAUUGACAGAAUUUCUUUUCCAUUCUGUUCUAAUAAACACGUCGAUGCCUGUGUUAAAUACACAAAAUGUAAAUUUCAUCUAUUGAAAUUGACAGAAUUUCUUUUCCACAAAGGAACUUCUGUUCUAAUAAACACGUUGAUGUCUGUGUUAAAUACACAAAAUGCAGAUUUCGCCGAUUGAAAUUGACAAAAUUUGUUUAGAGAAAAAUGCC